UUAACUCACCGAUUUGAAUGAGCUGUUGGUCUUGGCGGAAUUGACUAAUGAUUCUGCCUUUAAUCCCAUUUGACUGUUUAUAUCGGUGGUUUUCAGGCUCGGUCCAAUUUGCCUUUCUCCCCUUAGUUGACCUCCUUUGACUUUCUGGCCUUGUGGAGUCUUUUUACCGAUAUGUAGUUGAGCUUAAUUUACUGAGCCAGGUUUUUAUCCCCCACAAUUAGCUCUCCAAUACCUUAAAGGGAUGCAAAAUGACUUCGUUUGAGGAAUUUCACUUUGCCACUUUCUCCGCUAUACAUACCCUUGGAGUGCCGACGAUUCUCCUUCCCUUUCACUUUUUUUCCUUCUUUAAGUAUUGCGGUUAGCCUUUCUUUAUUGACGGAUGGCGCUCUCUUCUGUCUCUUAUUCCUGGUGCCAUUGAAUUUCCAGUCCAAAUUCGAUGCUCUCAUUAUUCCCUUUCUAGGCUCUUCCUCCAAUGUCGCCUUUCUAGACUUUUCCUUCCCCCCAGCAAGACUCUCGUGACGGUUCGUAAGGGUUUAACUGUGUCUUCGAAUUGUUCUUUCGUGACAGGGUUUGAUUCCCUCUCCCAAAACUCCUGACGGAGUAUACUUUCUGCAAUGGUAUUUUUAUUUCACAGUUAUCUUCUGGUUUAGUCUGUCAUCCUUUGUCUUCUGGCUACCGCAUGCGACUGUGACACUUCUUUAAGUGUCGAAGAUGUCUC
RNAcentral lists this long non-coding RNA (718 nucleotides) under Eutrema salsugineum. RNAcentral's name for it is "long non-coding RNA (ESAL_LNC001353)". Lineage: Eukaryota; Viridiplantae; Streptophyta; Magnoliopsida; Brassicales; Brassicaceae. The record is from RNAcentral.